This 577-nucleotide ribosomal RNA is filed under the name uncultured bacterium. RNAcentral describes it as "bacterial SSU rRNA". It matches the Rfam family "Bacterial small subunit ribosomal RNA", at positions 32 to 606 of the family's 1533-position model. The record is from RNAcentral.
AACGCGGCGGAAUGCUNACACAUGCAAGUCGAACGGCAGCACGGGGGCAACCCUGGUGGCGAGUGGCGAACGGGUGAGUAAUACAUCGGAACGUGCCCAGUCGUGGGGGAUAACGUAGCGAAAGCUACGCUAAUACCGCAUACGAACUGAGGUUGAAAGCGGGGGAUCGCAAGACCUCGCGCGAUUGGAGCGGCCGAUGGCAGAUUAGGUAGUUGGUGGGGUAAAGGCCUACCAAGCCGACGAUCUGUAGCUGGUCUGAGAGGACGACCAGCCACACUGGGACUGAGACACGGCCCAGACUCCUACGGGAGGCAGCAGUGGGGAAUUUUGGACAAUGGGCGCAAGCCUGAUCCAGCCAUUCCGCGUGCAGGAUGAAGGCCCUCGGGUUGUAAACUGCUUUUGUACGGAACGAAACGGCUUGAGUUAAUACCUCGAGCUAAUGACGGUACCGUAAGAAUAAGCACCGGCUAACUACGUGCCAGCAGCCGCGGUAAUACGUAGGGUGCCCGCGUUAAUCGGAAUUACUGGGCGUAAAGCGUGCGCAGGCGGUUAUGUAACACAGGUGUGAAAUCCCCGG